Molecule: antisense RNA, 69 nt
Filed under: Streptomyces sp. 150FB
Lineage: Bacteria; Bacillati; Actinomycetota; Actinomycetes; Kitasatosporales; Streptomycetaceae
Description: ASpks TB sRNA
Rfam family: ASpks TB sRNA
Source: Rfam by way of RNAcentral
CUUCAACGAGCCGAUCCACAGGGGCGUUUCACGGCCCUGCCCGUACGUGGCCAGCAGCGCCUGCGCCUC